Long non-coding RNA from Pezoporus occidentalis (night parrot), 1158 nucleotides. RefSeq lists it as uncharacterized. The transcript has 2 exons. The record is from RefSeq and is a predicted model, not a curated record. NCBI's taxonomy places the organism in Eukaryota, Metazoa, Chordata, Aves, Psittaciformes, Psittacidae.
GGCAGCCGGCAGCCAGCCUGCACCCCCCGUGAGGCCCUCGGUCACUUCAGAUCAAGCUGGAAUAUGAUGAACAGGAAUCCCUGGAAGACAAAAAGGUGCCAAAUCACCCUGUGUGCAAACUGGCAAUGCCCAAGUCAGCUGCUGAGCAGCAAAGGCUCAAGCAGGCCACUCGGUUCUGAGCGCAGGGCUGUCACUGUGCCACCCCUCAGCAAGCAAACUGAUAGGACUAGAUUAGCAAAUGAAACAAAACCACACAGCUCCCAAAGUUGCAACACGGGUUUCAAAUGAAAAUCCGGGGUUUUAUUUCACAAGUUGCUAAAAUCUAAGUACAAUAAGUCAUUUUCAUUAUUACUGUAUUAUAAAAUCUUGUCAUCGCAAGGUCUCCCAAGAAAGGUUAUAUGGCUUGCAAAGAACCAACGCUGCUCUAACCCUCUCCCCAGGAGAGGGGGGAAGCAAGCAGCAUCCGAGCAAUGUCAAACCAGCUCAUGCAGCAGUUUGCAGUGAAGCAGUGGAGGGCUGGGAACACGGGACACACCGGCUCUCCCAGCCGAGUGAUGCCAGGGAUGGGCCGGGGCUGCAGAGCGGCUCCUUCAGGCUCGUGUUCGGAAGGAGCUGGAAGGAUUUUGUCUCUUCCAGGAGAGGAGGUGGCUUUGGGAUGCUCUGCAGCAGAGCCACUGAGAGCCCUUACGGAGGCAGGGAUCCCAAACAGAACAGCAGGAGAAAUAAAGCAAAGAUCCGGUCUUCAAAGCAUGUCUAACACCCCCCCCACCCCCCCUUCACAAUUCCCAAACCAUGGAACCUUUAGGGCAUAAUACCAUAAUGUGAAUAUUCUGAUCGAGCUUUUCUACCUAUUGGUUGGGUUCUGCAGCUGGGUUUUGGUUUUGUCAGGUGGGGAGGAAGAGAUUUGGAAAGACUCAGAGGUGUUUGAACAACAUCUAAACCUAAAGUGGUACCUCGAGGAGCCCAGUCCAACACCAUCAACUGAACCCACAGCUUCGACUACAAGGAAGAAACAAUUCUGGCAUUUACCACAUUUUUACCACUUCAAUCUUUUCCUGGUGCAUUUAUCUGGAACUUGGCAGAAACAGAGACGCAAUAAAUAGAUCCUUCCAUGUUACCUGCACCAUGGGUUAAUACCCAUGUCAAAACAGUUGGAAU